This 422-nucleotide ribosomal RNA is filed under the name uncultured bacterium. RNAcentral describes it as "bacterial SSU rRNA". It matches the Rfam family "Bacterial small subunit ribosomal RNA", at positions 356 to 775 of the family's 1533-position model. The record is from RNAcentral.
GAGGAAUAUUGGUCAAUGGGCGGAAGCCUGAACCAGCCAUCCCGCGUGCAGGAAGACAGCCCUAUGGGUUGUAAACUGCUUUUCCAGUGGGCGAAACACUCGUACGUGUACGAGAUUGACGGUACACUGGGAAUAAGCAUCGGCUAACUCCGUGCCAGCAGCCGCGGUAAUACGGAGGAUGCAAGCGUUAUCCGGAUUUAUUGGGUUUAAAGGGUGCGUAGGCGGAUGAAUAAGUCAGUGGUGAAAGGCUGCAGCCUAACUGUAGACUUGCCGUUGAUACUGUUUAUCUUGAGUAUGGUCAAGGCAGGCGGAAUGUGUAAUGUAGCGGUGAAAUGCUUAGAUAUUACACAGAACACCGAUUGCGAAGGCAGCUUGCUGGGCCAUUACUGACGCUGAUGCACGAAAGCGUGGGGAGCGAACAG